RNAcentral lists this ribosomal RNA (141 nucleotides) under uncultured bacterium. RNAcentral's name for it is "partial 16S rRNA". It matches the Rfam family "Bacterial small subunit ribosomal RNA", at positions 355 to 511 of the family's 1533-position model. The record is from RNAcentral.
UGGGGAAUUUUCCGCAAUGGGCGAAAGCCUGACGGAGCAAUGCCGCGUGGAGGUGGAAGGCCUACGGGUCGUCAACUUCUUUUCUCAGAGAAGAAACAAUGACAGUAUCUUAGGAAUAAGCAUCGGCUAACUCUGUGCCNG